UUUUGUUUUUCUCCGGCGGAAUAAAACUCCUUUUCCCCGAUUCCACAACGUACGACGGCGGUGUUGACCUGAAGCGUCCUCCUCUUCUCAUUUUUCAUCCUGUUCUCCUAAUGGAAGCAAUAAAUGGAUUCACUCGCUUCCAUCUUUGAAAUAAAUGUUCUCCAAUCCUACACAAAACCUUUCGCUGUCUUCCUUCUCUUCGAUCUCCAUUGUAACGUUUUUCUAUUAAAGUGACUUUAUCCCAUUCAAUGCUCAAUCUUGCAAUUGAAGACCCACUACUCUAUCUUUAAUUGGUCUGGUCGCCUUCACCAACAGAUCGUCGGAAGAAUGCUUUGUCACUGGCCUGCUCGGAAUGUCAAAAAAGGAGGCCAACUCAUGGGCAUCGACUUCCUACUUAUUGAUGAGAAGAUCAAAGAUGGUAUGAAGGAUGAUGAGGAAGACUUAGACUGUUUAAGGUUUUUUUCGAUCAUCGACACAAUUUAAGUGAAUACUGAGGAACUUCGUCUUAAAACAAUGGCAGGGGCUAACCAGCCAGCAUACAAAGACAUCUUCAAUUGCGUUUAACGAAGUCUAAGCAGAAUCGUUGAUGUGGUGCAGGUAUCCUUUUGGUGUCUUUGCAAGUGAGGACUAGUGGAGGACUUUGUUUGUUUCCAUGGUGUUUCUUCUACUCUCAUCUGAUUCGACGACGUCCAAGUUAAGACCGGUGAGAUGGUUUGAAGAAUGAAAAAGACUUGGACUUCUUAAGGUUUUGUUUCAAUCAUCAACAAUUGAAUAAAUAUAAGGUCACCUUUCAUCCGAUGGAAAAAAACUCUUCUUGAUCUCCCAUUGGAAGUUGUCCUAGAAUUGUGGACACCACCAUCAUCAACACUCAUGCAGCUAUCAGAGAUGGCUUGAAGCAUGUAGAACACACUCACACACACACACACACACACUCUUCAGUCUCCACUCUUCACCAAAUAGAAUAAAAGUUUAAGAGAGAGCGACUCUCUCCCCCUCUCUCUCUCUUGGUAGUUGAUGAUUUUGAAAAAUGAAGAAGACUCAGAACAGAGGAAUGAUGAUGAUGACCCAAACAACAACAACGACAUCGAUGGUGGAUAUGGUGCAAGUGAGGAUUGGAGGAGGACGUUGUUUGUUUUACUCUCAUCUGAUUUGACGACAAGUAAAGACUGGGGAGGUGGUUCGGAAGAACAACGUUUCAUAAGAAAAAAACUGGUCGGCAUGCGUGCUCACAGGUUAACAACAUGAAACUGUUUCAAUGGUGAUUGAUUAUUUUCGACUCUAUUCAAUAUGUCUUCCUCCUUGUCCACUUCAAAUUCUCCAUCCAGAGGUGUUACUAGCUUCUUCAGAUGGAGAUUUAAGGCUCCCUUUGAUCCGAUGGAAAAAUUCUCUUCUUGAUCUAUCUUUAAACAAUGGUAAUGGCUAACCAGCCAGCAAACAGAGACAUCUUCAAUUGCUUUAACGAAAGAAGUGUCUAAGCAGGUGUUGUUUUCGUGUCUUUGCAGGUGACGAUCAGUGGAGGACUGUGUUUGUUCUACUCUCAUCUGAUUCGACGACCAGGAAUUUCAUCUUUAAACAAUGGCAAGGGAUUACCAACCAGCAUACGGAGACAUCUUCAAUUGCUUUAGCGAAAGAAGUGUCAAAAGCAGGUGUCGUUUUGAUGUCUUGGCAAGUGAGGAUCAGUGGAUGACUUUGUUUGUUUCCAUGGUGUUUCUUCUACUCUCAUCUGAUUUGACGACAAGUAAAGAUUGGGGAGGUUGAUUGGAAGAAUAACGUUUCAUAAGAAAAAAAUUGGUCGGCAUGCGUACUGACAGGUCAACAACAUGAAACUGUUUUUAUGAUGUUGCUAGCUUCUCCUGAUGGAGUUAUAAGAUCAUAGAUGGUUUGAAGAAUGAUGAGGAAGACUCAGACUGUUUAAGGAAUUUCAUCUCUAAACAAUGGGAAGGGAUAACCAGAGACAUAUUCAAUUGCUUUAACAAAGAGAAUCGUCGAUAUGGUGCAGGUGUCGUUUUAGUGUCUUUGCAAGUGAGGAUCAGUUGAGGAGUUUGUUUGAUUCCAUGGUGUUUCUUCUACUCUCAUCUGAUAUGACGACCAAGUAAAGAUCGGGGAGAUGGUUUGGAAGAAUAAUGUUUCAUAACAAAAACUUGGCCGGCGUGCGUGCUCACAGUUUAACACCAUGAAACUGAUUCUAUUGUGAUUGGUGAUCUUUGAUUCGAUACAAUACGUCUUUCUCUUUGUCCACAAGCAGGGGCGGACCAAGAAAAAAUAAAUAGUGGUGGCAGAUUGUCACCGGGUGGUGUCGAACCCUCGCCCUUGGAGAUAUUCUAACGUUUUCUCAAGCCAUUAUGCCACUUAUCUUCUUUUGCUUAGCGUAAAAAUUUGAAGAUUUUUAAUAUUACUGGUGGCAACUGCCACCACAAACCAUAACGUGGGUCCGCCCCUGUCCACAAGUGAAUCUAAUCUCCUUUAUCCCUAAUUUUAUUCUUUGCUACACAACUUUAGAUAAGAGACUGAAUUCUAAUCUCCUUCCACCAUAUCUCCUUUAUCUCUGAUAUGAUACCAGACUUUUAAGACUUUUAGAAAAAAUAAAAGCAUUGACAGCCAUU
This is a non-coding RNA of Camelina sativa (false flax), 2603 nucleotides long. Lineage: Eukaryota; Viridiplantae; Streptophyta; Magnoliopsida; Brassicales; Brassicaceae. The record is from RefSeq and is a predicted model, not a curated record.